Molecule: long non-coding RNA, 739 nt
Organism: Phragmites australis (common reed)
Lineage: Eukaryota; Viridiplantae; Streptophyta; Magnoliopsida; Poales; Poaceae
Exons: 2
Source: RefSeq, a predicted model, not a curated record
CGAGUCCCAAGCAACCAGGGCAAGCGCUCCUCCUCCCAAACCCACACCACACCGAAGCCGAUGCCGGCAGUAAAGUCGAGCGGCGGGAGCAGCCGCCGCGGACGGGGGAACCGCUACGCCCUGUUACGACCGCCGCAUCACCGCCUUCUCCGCCGAGGGCCGCAUCUACCAAAUCGGUGAGUGCGUACGGAACCCACGCCCCCAAAACCCAGACCUCUGCGCGGCCGGCUGCGGUCUCUGAUGGCCCGUCCGCGUCGUCGUCGCGAUUACGCGUGGAACGCCGUGAGGCUGGCGGGGGUCACCUCCGUGGGCGUGCGCGGGGCCGGCCAGCGGAAGGCACCGAAGGCGAAGGACAAGUUGCUGGAUGCGGCGAGCGUCUCGCGCAUGUUCCCGAUCACCGAGCGGCUGGGGUUGCUCACCACAGGGAUCGCAGGUGACCAGCGCUCGUUUAAUUUGUUAUUACUGUUCCAACGAUUCGCAGAAUGUAUGCGGUGCACGCGAAUUGAUUCAUUUCAACUGCUGCAUCGCAAUUGGGUUGCAAGGAUAAUUACGACUUCGCGGGUGAUAUUACUCGGGAUUCACUGUGUAAUGCAGCGUGCACCGUGGCUCUAAUGUUAAUUUGUUUAGUUGUUUUUACCAUUGGUAUCAAUAUACCAUGAAGGGGUUUCAGUGUAGUAUGGUACAUUUGCUGAUGCUCAGUUCAGAUUGGAAGGUUUUAAUGGAUCUCCUUAUAUUUUUA